CUGGAGUGUUACCUCUUUGAAGCCUCACUCCUGCCUGUGAGGAAGCUGCUGCUGUCCUGACUCCUGCGUCACAGUGUCAGCUCAUACCAAGGGGCCCUGAGCUUCCUGGAAGGUCACCUUACCAGGCAUUUCUGGGAGUCUCCAGGAGGUAGCAGGCAUCUUGAAUGUGCCCAUGAGGAAGUCCAGCCUGCCAUCUGGGCUCAACCUUCUCCAGUGUGACUCGCUUCCCCUUUCUUCAGGAAAACGAUGUUGGAACAUGAACUGCAAGGAGCUCCCGGAUCUGACAUUCCUGGCUGUUCUGAUCUUUCGGUCCUCUGCAGGAUGGAGGCUGCGUGGCUGGAGAUCCCACCGUCACUGAG
Rhinopithecus roxellana (golden snub-nosed monkey) is the source of this 359-nucleotide long non-coding RNA. RefSeq lists it as uncharacterized. The transcript is spliced from 4 exons. Lineage: Eukaryota; Metazoa; Chordata; Mammalia; Primates; Cercopithecidae. The record is from RefSeq and is a predicted model, not a curated record.